This 644-nucleotide ribosomal RNA is filed under the name uncultured archaeon. Its description in RNAcentral is "bacterial SSU rRNA". It matches the Rfam family "Bacterial small subunit ribosomal RNA", at positions 372 to 1035 of the family's 1533-position model. The record is from RNAcentral.
CAGGGGAAACCUGACGCUUGACGCCGCGUGAGUGAUGAAGGCCUUAGGGUCGUAAAGCUCUGUUGAAUGGGAAGAAACAAAUGACGGUACCAUUCGAGAAAGGAUCGGCUAACUUCGUGCCAGCAGCCGCGGUAAGACGAGGGAUCCUAGCGUUGUUCGGAAUCAUUGGGCGUAAAGCGUGUGUAGGCGGCCAUUCAAGUCAGUUGUGAAAGCCCCGGGCUUAACCCGGGAAGUGCUUCUGAUACUGUUUGGCUUGAGUACUGGAGAGGAUAGUAGAAUUCCAGGUGUAGUGGUGAAAUACGUAGAUAUCUGGAGGAAUACCGGUGGCGAAGGCGGCUAUCUGGCCAUGUACUGACGCUGAGACACGAAAGCGUGGGGAGCAAACAGGAUUAGAUACCCUGGUAGUCCACGCCGUAAACGAUGGAUACUUGGUGUUGGAGGUAUUGACCCCUUCAGUGCCGAAGCAAACGCGUUAAGUAUCCCGCCUGGGGAGUACGGUCGCAAGAUUAAAACUCAAAGAAAUUGACGGGGGCCCGCACAAGCGGUGGAGCAUGUGGUUUAAUUCGAUGCAACGCGAAAAACCUUACUGGGCUCGAAGUGUAGAGGAAGACAGCAGAGAUGUUGCCACCUUCGGGUCUCUAUAU